AGUGAACGCUGGCGGCAGGCCUAACACAUGCAAGUCGAGCGGCAGCGCGGGGGCAACCCUGGCGGCGAGCGGCGGACGGGUGAGGAAUUCGUCGGAAUCUGCCUUUUUGUGGGGGAUAACGUAGGGAAACUUACGCUAAUACCGCAUACGUCCUACGGGAGAAAGUGGGGGACCGCAAGGCCUCACGCAGAAAGAUGAGCCGACGACCGAUUAGCUAGUUGGUGGGGUAAAGGCCCACCAAGGCGACGAUCGGUAGCUGGUCUGAGAGGAUGAUCAGCCACACUGGGACUGAGACACGGCCCAGACUCCUACGGGAGGCAGCAGUGGGGAAUAUUGGACAAUGGGCGCAAGCCUGAUCCAGCCAGGCCGCGUGUGUGAAGAAGGCCUUCGGGUUGUAAAGCACUUUUGUCCGGAAAGAAAUCCCUGGAGCUAAUACCUUCGGGGGAUGACGGUACCGGAAGAAUAAGCACCGGCUAACUUCGUG
RNAcentral lists this ribosomal RNA (484 nucleotides) under uncultured bacterium. RNAcentral's name for it is "partial 16S ribosomal RNA". It matches the Rfam family "Bacterial small subunit ribosomal RNA", at positions 29 to 507 of the family's 1533-position model. The record is from RNAcentral.